GGUUGACCUCGGAUCAGGUAGAAUACCCGGUGAA
Molecule: ribosomal RNA, 34 nt
Filed under: Sarocladium kiliense
Lineage: Eukaryota; Fungi; Ascomycota; Sordariomycetes; Hypocreales; Sarocladiaceae
Description: partial 28S ribosomal RNA
Source: RNAcentral